CGGACGGGUGAGUAAUGUCUGGGAAACUGCCUGAUGGAGGGGGAUAACUACUGGAAACGGUAGCUAAUACCGCAUAACGUCGCAGGACCAAAGAGGGGGACCUUCGGGCCUCUUGCCAUCAGAUGUGCCCAGAUGGGAUUAGCUAGUAGGUGGGGUAACGGCUCACCUAGGCGACGAUCCCUAGCUGGUCUGAGAGGAUGACCAGCCACACUGGAACUGAGACACGGUCCAGACUCCUACGGGAGGCAGCAUG
This 253-nucleotide ribosomal RNA is filed under the name uncultured bacterium. Its description in RNAcentral is "partial 16S ribosomal RNA". It matches the Rfam family "Bacterial small subunit ribosomal RNA", at positions 99 to 353 of the family's 1533-position model. The record is from RNAcentral.